GAUGAACGCUGGCGGCGUGCCUAAUACAUGCAAGUCGAGCGAACGGACGAGAAGCUUGCUUCUCUGAUGUUAGCGGCGGACGGGUGAGUAACACGUGGAUAACCUACCUAUAAGACUGGGAUAACUUCGGGAAACCGGAGCUAAUACCGGAUAAUAUUUUGAACCGCAUGGUUCAAAAGUGAAAGACGGCCUUGCUGUCACUUAUAGAUGGAUCCGCGCUGCAUUAGCUAGUUGGUAAGGUAACGGCCUACCAAGGCAACGAUGCAUAGCCGACCUGAGAGGGUGAUCGGCCACACUGGAACUGAGACACGGUCCAGACUCCUACGGGAGGCAGCAGUAGGGAAUCUUCCGCAAUGGGCGAAAGCCUGACGGAGCAACGCCGCGUGAGUGAUGAAGGUCUUCGGAUCGUAAAACUCUGUUAUUAGGGAAGAACAUAUGUGUAAGUAACUGUGCACAUCUUGACGGUACCUAAUCAGAAAGCCACGGCUAACUACGUG
RNAcentral lists this ribosomal RNA (497 nucleotides) under uncultured bacterium. RNAcentral describes it as "partial 16S ribosomal RNA". It matches the Rfam family "Bacterial small subunit ribosomal RNA", at positions 28 to 507 of the family's 1533-position model. The record is from RNAcentral.